CCUACGGGAGGCAGCAGUGAGGAAUAUUGGACAAUGGAGGCAACUCUGAUCCAGCCAUGCCGCGUGCAGGAAGACUGCCCUAUGGGUUGUAAACUGCUUUUAUACAGGAAGAAACACUCGGACGUGUCCGAGCUUGACGGUACUGUAAGAAUAAGGAUCGGCUAACUCCGUGCCAGCAGCCGCGGUAAU
This 189-nucleotide ribosomal RNA is filed under the name uncultured bacterium. Its description in RNAcentral is "partial 16S ribosomal RNA". It matches the Rfam family "Bacterial small subunit ribosomal RNA", at positions 338 to 524 of the family's 1533-position model. The record is from RNAcentral.